GUGUCCGUAGCUCAGCUGGAUAGAGCAACAGCCUUCUAAGCUGUGGGUCGCGGGUUCGAAUCCCUCCGGACACGCCA
This 77-nucleotide transfer RNA is filed under the name Alicyclobacillus acidoterrestris. RNAcentral describes it as "tRNA-Arg". It matches the Rfam family "tRNA". Rfam says of the family: Transfer RNA (tRNA) molecules are approximately 80 nucleotides in length. Their secondary structure includes four short double-helical elements and three loops (D, anti-codon, and T loops). RNAcentral also lists the same sequence under 3 other names. Lineage: Bacteria; Bacillati; Bacillota; Bacilli; Caryophanales; Alicyclobacillaceae. The record is from RNAcentral.